Molecule: ribosomal RNA, 274 nt
Filed under: uncultured bacterium
Lineage: Bacteria
Description: partial 16S ribosomal RNA
Rfam family: Bacterial small subunit ribosomal RNA
Source: RNAcentral
AUACGGAGGAUCCAAGCGUUAUCCGGAAUCAUUGGGUUUAAAGGGUCCGUAGGUGGAUAAUUAAGUCAGAGGUGAAAUCCUGCAGCUCAACUGUAGAAUUGCCUUUGAAACUGGUUAUCUUGAGUCAUUAUGAAGUGGUUAGAAUGUGUAGUGUAGCGGUGAAAUGCAUAGAUAUUACACAGAAUACCGAUUGCGAAGGCAGAUCACUAAUAGUGUACUGACACUGAUGGACGAAAGCGUGGGUAGCGAACAGGAUUAGAAACCCUAGUAGUCC